This is a small nuclear RNA of Gadus morhua (Atlantic cod), 164 nucleotides long. Its record names the gene U1. It matches the Rfam family "U1 spliceosomal RNA". From Rfam's summary of the family: U1 is a small nuclear RNA (snRNA) component of the spliceosome (involved in pre-mRNA splicing). Its 5' end forms complementary base pairs with the 5' splice junction, thus defining the 5' donor site of an intron. The record is from Ensembl. NCBI's taxonomy places the organism in Eukaryota, Metazoa, Chordata, Actinopteri, Gadiformes, Gadidae.
AUACUUACCUGGCAAGGGAGAUACCAUGAUCAACAAGGUGGUUCACCCAUAGCGAGGCUCAGCCAUUGCACUUCGGCUGUGCUGACCCGUGCGAAUUCCCCAAAUGUGGGAAUCUCGAUUGCAUAAUUUGUGGUAGUGGGGGACUGCGUUCGCGCUCUCCCCUG